Mytilus trossulus (common blue mussel) is the source of this 1354-nucleotide RNA transcript. RefSeq lists it as uncharacterized. NCBI's taxonomy places the organism in Eukaryota, Metazoa, Mollusca, Bivalvia, Mytilida, Mytilidae. The record is from RefSeq and is a predicted model, not a curated record. The transcript is spliced from 3 exons.
UUAAAUUCUGUACGAAGUCAAAUUAAAACUUAUUGUCAAAACCAAUCUGCUAUGAUGGUUAUUCCUGAGACAAUACUACAAAUCUGAAAGCAAUCGACUUAAUUGAAUAUGGAGUAUAAUACGAUCCUAGAUAUUUUACCCUUAAAGAUUACAAUCCAAUCCAGUUUAUCCAUUCGUUUGAUGUGUUUGAACUUUUGAUUUUGCCAUUUGAUUUGGGACUUUCCUUUUUGAAUUUUCCUCGGAGUUUAGUAUUUUUGUGUUUUUACUUUUUUCCGUACCUAACUGACCAAUGAUUAAUCUCGUUUUGGAAGCAUCCAUGAUGAUCACGUACAGUAUGUCAGUUUUGUACCUAACUGACCAAUGAUUCAGUAAUAUCGUUUAGGAAACAUACACGAUAAUCACGUACUAUGAUCAAGAUUAAUACUAAAAGUCAGAGCUUGUUUAUAGUGUUACACUAAUUUGUGAUACAAAAUGAAGCUAUGAUUAAAAUCGGAGGUAAAUAAACAUUUGAAGUAGUACGGAUCUGUGCAAGGAUAUACUAGUUUAUAUUACAUGCAGCGAGGAAUGAUAUGUAAGGACCGGCAUGUAGAAUUAGAUGGUAAGCAAUAUGGAAGUCAGAUGGAAACACACUCAUUCACUUAUACAAAACGUAACGCCAUGAAAAUUGUUACAUGGAAAACUUUAAAAAGCAACGACGAGACGCUAAUAUUACAAUAAGUGUAUGGUAGACUUGUAAUUGACAGGAACAACGUGAUCGAGUUAAAAAUGCCAUCUUGCUACGCCAGGCCAACAACGAAGACCACAGACCAGAGUAAUACCAUCAUUUCACCAGGGAAUAUGAACCCAAACGAAAACAUAGAUGUAAUGGACAGCAACAUUAACUACAGUAACGUCAUCAGUAACAGCACCAACUUUAGUAUUUCCCAAUUACGGAAUGGUAACACAGAUAGUUUAUCUCGUAUAAACGGCAGCUACACAAAUGGUACAUUUUCUGGAGACAAGUACGAAGACAGUUUUUUGUUCAGGGAAUUCGGAAUGAUAAGAUUAGCAGUGCUUGGGAUUGUGAUUAUGGUACUUAUAUUAUCGACUUGUAAAAUCGUAUUCAAGAUGUUUUCUCGAUCUUUACAUAACAAACGAGACGAUGAAUGAUUGUUUAAAAAUAUCAAUUUCGUUUAAAUCCAACCCCUGGACAUGUGAAAAAUGAAUGCAUAGGACAAAGGAUAUUUAAUCAGACUAUUUUAAUCCAACCAGCAUCGUUGUUUACCUGAAUACAGCUGCACUGAACAAGAAUAAUGUUUUAUUUAGAUAUCGUCUUGAUGUAAGGAGUUAAAAAUAAAUAUGCCUUUGUAACACA